UACGGAGGGUGCAAGCGUUGCUCGGAAUUAUUGGGCGUAAAGGGUAGGUAGGUGGUCUCAUUUGUCUAGGGUGAAAGCCUUGAGCUUAACUCAAGAAGUGCCCUAGAAACGGUGAGACUGGAGUACUGGAGAGGGUCGUGGAAUUCCCGGUGUAGCGGUGAAAUGCGUAGAGAUCGGGAGGAACACCAGAGGCGAAGGCGGCGACCUGGACAGUUACUGACACUCAACUACGAAAGCGUGGGGAGCAAACAGG
RNAcentral lists this ribosomal RNA (253 nucleotides) under uncultured prokaryote. Its description in RNAcentral is "partial 16S ribosomal RNA". It matches the Rfam family "Bacterial small subunit ribosomal RNA", at positions 524 to 776 of the family's 1533-position model. The record is from RNAcentral.